Molecule: ribosomal RNA, 497 nt
Filed under: uncultured bacterium
Lineage: Bacteria
Description: partial 16S ribosomal RNA
Rfam family: Bacterial small subunit ribosomal RNA
Source: RNAcentral
GAUGAACGCUGGCGGCGUGCCUAAUACAUGCAAGUCGAGCGAACAGACGAGGAGCUUGCUCCUCUGACGUUAGCGGCGGACGGGUGAGUAACACGUGGAUAACCUACCUAUAAGACUGGGAUAACUUCGGGAAACCGGAGCUAAUACCGGAUAAUAUAUUGAACCGCAUGGUUCAAUAGUGAAAGACGGUUUUGCUGUCACUUAUAGAGGGAUCCGCGCCGCAUUAGCUAGUUGGUAAGGUAACGGCUUACCAAGGCGACGAUGCGUAGCCGACCUGAGAGGGUGAUCGGCCACACUGGAACUGAGACACGGUCCAGACUCCUACGGGAGGCAGCAGUAGGGAAUCUUCCGCAAUGGGCGAAAGCCUGACGGAGCAACGCCGCGUGAGUGAUGAAGGUCUUCGGAUCGUAAAACUCUGUUAUUAGGGAAGAACAAAUGUGUAAGUAACUAUGCACGUCUUGACGGUACCUAAUCAGAAAGCCACGGCUAACUACGUG